AUUGUAUCAAGAGAGGUGGAGGGACUGGCCCUUUGAAACCUCGGCAGCAGGUUCAUUUUUGAAUACUGUGCCACUUCCUGCAAGCUUUAUAGCUUGAAAGAUAGAAU
Regulatory RNA element from Bacillus anthracis str. 'Ames Ancestor', 107 nucleotides. It matches the Rfam family "SAM riboswitch aptamer (S box leader)". Rfam says of the family: The SAM riboswitch is found upstream of a number of genes which code for proteins involved in methionine or cysteine biosynthesis in Gram-positive bacteria. The record is from Rfam. NCBI's taxonomy places the organism in Bacteria, Bacillati, Bacillota, Bacilli, Caryophanales, Bacillaceae.